GCUCAACUGUCUUGGUGCCUGAAAUUCACACUGUUGUCUCCAUCCUACCUUCCUUUCAUGGCGUUUGAAGGAGCUGCGGCCAAAAGGGCCAAACUCGUUGCAUCCAGGGUCCACUGGGGCAACACGGGCCCAUGUGUUUCCAUUAUGGACCAGGACACUCACGGAAAUCCAAGUCAGGACAGUGUUGGGAAGUGGCUCAGCACCAAUGUCACUCAGGAAGAUGCAAAGCAAGAGCCACUGCAGGAAGACGCAGGGCCUCUGCAGAGGAACCCCAGCAGUGACGAUGACUUGGCGCUGGGUGUAGAAGCGUCUUUAUACGCCAAACAAGGAGUGAAGACGGUCCAGGAGUUUCUGCGGUAAGGAGAUCGCUCUUCUUCACCAUGUUUCUGUCAGUCAUACAGAACCACACAGACAGCAGUACAGAGGGAGUCUGUUGUGACACAGCACAGAGCUCCACUUAAAUGUAUUUACAGAAGAAUAGCUCA
Molecule: long non-coding RNA, 485 nt
Organism: Astatotilapia calliptera (eastern happy)
Lineage: Eukaryota; Metazoa; Chordata; Actinopteri; Cichliformes; Cichlidae
Source: Ensembl